GCAUAAUCAUUUGUCUUUUAAAUGAAGACUCGAACAAAAGAUUCAACAUUUUAAUAAAUAUUUUUUAGCAACUUAAUUUAAAUUAUCUUAAAAGUAAAAAGACUUUUAUACAUAAGAAAGACGACAAGACCCUAUUGAACUUAACUUAAGUUUAAGCUGGGGCAGUUAUUAAAUUAUUAUUUUUAAUUACAAAUAAAUACAAUUAGAUCUAAUAAAAUUAAUUAAUUAAUCAAGUUACCAUAGGGAUAACAGCGUAAUAUAUAUUAAAAGUUCUUAUAAAAAUAUAAGCUUACGACCUC
RNAcentral lists this ribosomal RNA (299 nucleotides) under Berlandiella zabele. Its description in RNAcentral is "partial large subunit ribosomal RNA". The record is from RNAcentral. Lineage: Eukaryota; Metazoa; Arthropoda; Arachnida; Araneae; Philodromidae.